Molecule: ribosomal RNA, 396 nt
Filed under: Theileria sp. OT3
Lineage: Eukaryota; Apicomplexa; Aconoidasida; Piroplasmida; Theileriidae
Description: bacterial SSU rRNA
Rfam family: Eukaryotic small subunit ribosomal RNA
Source: RNAcentral
UUGUGACCGGAAGUGUAGUGACAUGGACUGGUACAAGUGUAUCUCUCUGGAGGGAACAAGAGGAGACAGCAGCCGCGGUAAUUCCAGCUCCAAUAGCGUAUAUAGGAAUUGUUGCAGUUAAAAAGCUCGUAGUUGAAUUUCUGCUGUAUUGCAUUUUCUCUUUUUAUAUGAGUUUUUGCAUUAUGGCUUAUUUCAGUAUUAAUUUUUUAUUAUUACUGAAUGUUUACUUUGAGAAACUUAGAGUGCUCAAAGCAGGCUUUUGCCUUGAAUAGUUUAGCAUGGAAUAAUAAAGUAGGACUUUGGUUCUAUUUUGUUGGUUGUAGGUACCAAAGUAAUGGUUAAUAGACACAGUUGGGGGCAUUCGUAUUUUACUGUCAGAAGGUGAAAUCCUUAGAA